GCGGUCGUGGCCGAGCGGUCUAAGGCGCUAGUUUCAGGUACUAGUUCGUAACAGAGCGCGGGUUCGAACCCCGCCGACCGUA
Non-coding RNA from Pelagophyceae sp. CCMP2097, 82 nucleotides. The record is from the annotation of a GenBank genome assembly. NCBI's taxonomy places the organism in Eukaryota, Pelagophyceae.